Molecule: ribosomal RNA, 500 nt
Filed under: uncultured bacterium
Lineage: Bacteria
Description: bacterial SSU rRNA
Rfam family: Bacterial small subunit ribosomal RNA
Source: RNAcentral
GAUUAACGCUAGCGGCAGGCCUAAUACAUGCAAGUCGAACGGCAGCACGGGUAGCAAUACCUGGUGGCGAGUGGCGCACGGGUGCGUAACACGUAUGCAAUCUACCUUUAACUGGGGAAUAACCCCUCGAAAGAGGGGCUAAUACCGCAUAACACUUCGAUGGGACAUCCCCAAUGAAGUCAAACCUUCGGGGGUUAAAGAUGAGCAUGCGUCCGAUUAGCUAGUUGGCGGGGUAACGGCCCACCAAGGCAACGAUCGGUAGGGGAUCUGAGAGGAUGAUCCCCCACACUGGUACUGAGACACGGACCAGACUCCUACGGGAGGCAGCAGUAAGGAAUAUUGGACAAUGGGCGCAAGCCUGAUCCAGCCAUGCCGCGUGCAGGAUGAAAGUGCUAUGCACUGUAAACUGCUUUUACUUGGGAAAAACCCCUGCUUUCUAGCGGGGCUGAUUGUACCGGGAGAAUAAGGGACGCUAACUUCGUGCCAGCCGCCGCCGUAAG